Hibiscus syriacus is the source of this 153-nucleotide long non-coding RNA. RefSeq lists it as uncharacterized. Lineage: Eukaryota; Viridiplantae; Streptophyta; Magnoliopsida; Malvales; Malvaceae. The transcript has 3 exons. The record is from RefSeq and is a predicted model, not a curated record.
GGAACCGAUGACUCGAGCAGAUUUGUCAUAGAUUAAGAACCAAGUGCUGGUGGUGCCCUGGUCGAUUGAGUCGAUGUAAAUUUCUCCCGCCAUUUUUGUUCUUCUCGGUUGUUUGUCAACUUAGAUGCAGAGAUUAAACAAAGGAGUAAAAGA